This 798-nucleotide ribosomal RNA is filed under the name uncultured Planktotalea sp. Its description in RNAcentral is "bacterial SSU rRNA". It matches the Rfam family "Bacterial small subunit ribosomal RNA", at positions 28 to 872 of the family's 1533-position model. The record is from RNAcentral. Lineage: Bacteria; Pseudomonadati; Pseudomonadota; Alphaproteobacteria; Rhodobacterales; Paracoccaceae.
AACGAACGCUGGCGGCAGGCCUAACACAUGCAAGUCGAGCGCUUACCUUCGGGUAGGAGCGGCGGACGGGUUAGUAACGCGUGGGAAUAUACCCUUCACUACGGAAUAGCCUCGGGAAACUGAGAGUAAUACCGUAUACGCCCUUCGGGGGAAAGAUUUAUCGGUGAAGGAUUAGCCCGCGUAAGAUUAGAUAGUUGGUGGGGUAAUGGCCUACCAAGUCUACGAUCUUUAGCUGGUUUUAGAGGAUGAUCAGCAACACUGGGACUGAGACACGGCCCAGACUCCUACGGGAGGCAGCAGUGGGGAAUCUUGGACAAUGGGCGCAAGCCUGAUCCAGCCAUGCCGCGUGUGUGAUGAAGGCCUUAGGGUCGUAAAGCACUUUCGCCAGAGAUGAUAAUGACAGUAUCUGGUAAAGAAACCCCGGCUAACUCCGUGCCAGCAGCCGCGGUAAUACGGAGGGGGUUAGCGUUGUUCGGAAUUACUGGGCGUAAAGCGCACGUAGGCGGAUUAGUCAGUCAGAGGUGAAAUCCCAGGGCUCAACCCUGGAACUGCCUUUGAUACUGCUAGUCUUGAGUUCGAGAGAGGUGAGUGGAAUUCCGAGUGUAGAGGUGAAAUUCGUAGAUAUUCGGAGGAACACCAGUGGCGAAGGCGGCUCACUGGCUCGAUACUGACGCUGAGGUGCGAAAGUGUGGGGAGCAAACAGGAUUAGAUACCCUGGUAGUCCACACCGUAAACGAUGAAUGCCAGUCGUCGGGCAGUAUACUGUUCGGUGACACACCUAACGGAUUAAGCAUCCGC